Harmonia axyridis is the source of this 212-nucleotide long non-coding RNA. RefSeq lists it as uncharacterized. The transcript has 2 exons. NCBI's taxonomy places the organism in Eukaryota, Metazoa, Arthropoda, Insecta, Coleoptera, Coccinellidae. The record is from RefSeq and is a predicted model, not a curated record.
UUUCAGAAAUAUGUGUUCAACAGAUUAUCUUAUACGACCAGUCAGAGGUCUACAUUACCAAGAUGAAGGGAUCGAAGCCGGAUAACAAAUGAUUUCAUUUUUUUCCCACAACUGAAAGAUUGUAAAAACAAUCUGAAAAUUUGAAAUCUAGAAGAAUUGAUCUUUCAAAAAUCCCUCAGAGCAGUGGUUCCCAAACUCGCUUUGGGCUACGA